UUUUAUUUGCUUUCUAUAGAGUUAUCUCAAUCUUCUAACCUAGAUCACGGGUUUGGUAGGUAAACACGAGUCGACUCGUUUUAAUUUUUGGGUCUUUUUUUAUUUUUUUUUCAACUUCACCCUCUAACUACUUAAUAUUCUUUUUUUUUAAUUUAAUGUUUUUUCAAUUUCAUCUUUUGAUAUUAGAUUGUUUGGGAAUUGAACUUCGUAACUUGUUUUAAUUUGCUUUUUGUGGAGUUAUCCUAGUAUCCUGAUCUUAUGGAUAUAGUUUUUUCUUUUCUUUUCUUUGCUAUUUCAACCUUUAAUAUUUGAUCUAUUGAAAAUGAA
Molecule: long non-coding RNA, 327 nt
Filed under: Populus trichocarpa (black cottonwood)
Lineage: Eukaryota; Viridiplantae; Streptophyta; Magnoliopsida; Malpighiales; Salicaceae
Description: long non-coding RNA (PTRI_LNC003971)
Source: RNAcentral